UACGUAGGGUGCAAGCGUUAAUCGGAAUUACUGGGCGUAAAGCGUGCGCAGGCGGCUUGUGAAGACAGAUGUGAAAUCCCCGGGCUCAACCUGGGAACUGCAUUUGUGACUGCAAGGCUGGAGUACGGUAGAGGGGGGAUGGAAUUCCGCGUGUAGCAGUGAAAUGCGUAGAUAUGCGGAGGAACACCGAUGGCGAAGGCAAUCCCUGGACCUGUACUGACGCUCAUGCACGAAAGCGUGGGAGCAACAGG
This 251-nucleotide ribosomal RNA is filed under the name uncultured bacterium. Its description in RNAcentral is "partial 16S ribosomal RNA". It matches the Rfam family "Bacterial small subunit ribosomal RNA", at positions 524 to 776 of the family's 1533-position model. The record is from RNAcentral.